AAGUCGUAACAAGGUUUCCGUAGGUGAACCUGCGGAAGGAUCAUUAACACGUAUCCAACGUUAAACAACCCUGUGAACCUUCAUUCCUGCUCUCCUCGUCCCUUGAUAAAGCAAUCCCUGGUAAAUCACGCGAACAGUUUGAUUCAGGGACCUCUUUUGAUACGCACUUGGAUUCGAAGCAGCAUCCUUUAUCGUCAGUCAACGAUUUUACUCGUUGAUAUCCUUCCAGAAACCAAGUCUAAAUUACGACGCCGCAUCGACUGGUCCUCACGGUCAGUGGACAAGUCUCUGGGCUUCGGGCCCCCCAUAUUAACCCCAGUUCUCAAUUCGGAGGAUGCGGAAACGCUCCUCAUAAAAACGAACAACUGUUAACAAUGGAUAUCUUGGUUCUC
RNAcentral lists this unclassified non-coding RNA (392 nucleotides) under fungal sp. RNAcentral describes it as "partial internal transcribed spacer region". The stretch from base 1 to 46 matches the Rfam family "Eukaryotic small subunit ribosomal RNA", at positions 1786 to 1831 of the family's 1831-position model. Lineage: Eukaryota; Fungi. The record is from RNAcentral.